UUCCAGGCGAAGCUUUAAUCUUCAACUAAGCACAUUCUCUGGAAUCUCACGAGAGACUAAGUCUGAGAUAUAUUUUAUGUUAGUUUAUCACCCUUAAGCCCUUAAUUAGCAUGAGGUCUCACAGAGUUACUAGAUGAGAAGGUCAUUUUAAAAAUUACUUAGAGUUACUGCAUGGUUCUUGUAAAAAAUAAAUGGAAAAGAGGUGAUAGGAGGGAAAUCUAGGACUGGGUCACCUGGAAUCCCAGCAGGUUUGACAUAAGUGUGCACACAGUCUCUGAAUACUGCUGACAGGCGCAAAGGCGGUCGGGGAGGCAUAUUCUUCUCCUGGCUCUGCCUGUAAGAUAUGUUGUAUUCACGGGAAGGUACCUGGACAACUUCUCAGAGACCCAGCUACAAAGAGAGGAUUCAACCCGGAUUUUUGAGUGGCGGAAGGAGAGCACCCACCGGUGAGCAGCGUUCACCAGUGAACGUUAUGUGGAGGUACCAAGCAAUGGAGGGAUGUUAGCGGACUAAAUUAAAGAUUCCAAAAGAAGAGCAGAUUGCUACCCAUAAAACUAAGCAACGUCAACGUGGAAUUACUGGAAGAAUCCGAAAGUCUUUGCAGAAAUGCUGUGCUUACUCCAAUGUUUCUCAAAAACCAGCUAUUUUAAAGGGACCAGGGUCAAUAUAAAUGAAAUAAAUGGAGGCUAAGAUAAAAUAUGUCAGAAAAUUUGCCGAAAGGUUAUUUUAAGGUGGCAUGUUAAAAACAAUAAUGGGCCAUUAGGCUGUCUUGUUAAAGGCAUUAAAGUCACAGGCACAAUGUAUGAGUCACAUGGGCAAGAUUUUCCACUUUAUAUAUAAAAACUUCAAUAUUGAAUUUCUGGUAAAAGUAAAAUGUUGCCAUUUCUGUGUAUAUUAUUAUAAAUAUUCAAAUUAAAUUGUAGGCAGAGGAGUAAGCAAAGUAGUAAUGUCUCUAGAAAUGUGUUAUCAAAAUGCUAGACAUUAUAAUUGACAUUACAAUACAGACUUUAAUGUAAUUUUUCUUUAUAAUUAAGUAGGCAUUGAAAAAAUCUUUUGGCUGAUCAUUGUGCAUGCAGGCAUACUGCUUUUUACAAGCAAGCAUCCCGUCGUCAAAGGCAUUUGUAAUUAAUUUACUUUUAAAACAAAAUUUGAGCAUCUCCAAAGACUAAGAUAAGGGACUAGAUAAUUUAAUGUUGUAUAAGAAAUGGUUACCUCACCUUUUAAUGUAGAAUUGGAGACAGAUGCUUGAUAUAUGAGGUAUAUGCCCUAUAAGGAUGGCUUCGUCUAUUUUGUGCAUUGCUGAAUCUCCAGAACCCACAACAAAAUGUACCACAUAUAAGAAACUCAAGCAGAGUUUGCUAAAAGAAGGAAUUAUUAACAAAUUCUUAUUGUUUACAAAAUUACUUCAAUGAUAAAUUCUUACAACCCUUUUCUGACUAUUAUGCAUGAUUUUGGAGGCUAUAUCUUAAUAAUUUGUUUUGUUAAAUUUUGCAAUAAUUAACAUUAAAGAAGUAUUAUUCCUAUUAACUCUUUAUGGUCAUUGAUGAUAAAGAAAAAGUCCUUUCAAGGGACAUGGAACACUUCGUGGUUAAUUUGUUGCUGAGAAAAUUUGCCUUUACCUUUUGGAAUGUAUUUAUUUGCUUUUUUUCUUUGUUUACUUAUUUUGAGUUUUAGAAUAUUCGUGGCAUAGCAUCAACAAUAAAAAAAAAGACUAGAUGUAGAUAAAGAUACAGAUAUGGAUAACUUCCAUUUAGGUACAAUGUCUUAUGACAUCUGGUUAAACCACCUGCUUCUUCCUGAUGGAAACUCAGGAUCUUUAAAUGGUUUGGGCUAUUUUAGUUAAAUAUCUUAUAUCAGAUAUACCAUAUGGGAUUUUUUUUUCUUAUAGUAUUUAUACCGUCACACAUUGACUAUUUAAUUACUUUCUGAGAGUCUUGUAUUGUCACAUUUUUAAAUCUUUAAAGUAAAUUGAAAAAAAUCUUUAUUUUCCAUCCAGCAGUGAUCAGGAGUUCAGAAAGGAGCUGACUUGUAAGUCCUGCACUGGGGCACUGUGGAGUCCGAGGGGGCAAAUGUACGCUGCAUACUUUGGAGCUCCAUAACACAAAUUCAUGUCUUGAAUGGGGUGGGGGAGGAGGCGUUUGCAGAGUAAAAAGAAACAGAAGAUUCCAGAUGCUAGAGCUUACAGAUGCUUUCAUUACAGGAAACUCAUAUAAAUGAUGACAGUACACAGAAUAGAUGUGGAAAGCAGAAAAAGAGACCGGAUCACAAGAUAUGCAUCUGUACUCAGAAAAUCACGGGUGAGAUUACUGAAAACAACUGUUGGGAGUUUUCUGAUUUAAUCCCAUUGACUGGAUCACUGAACAGGACAUUUUUCACUUCCAGUUUUCAUGUUUUGGCUGACCUAGGAAAUCUCAUGGUUUUGCUUUGUGACACACGCUUUUAGGAAAAGCUGUUAUUUCUGCUGCUUUGUACUGCCCUGUCUCUACUGAACUGUGGGGCUUCGACAGAAUUUAGAGUUUCAGGGCUGCAAGACAAACCCACAGAAAUAAUGCAAUGCUAUAUAGCUGGAGCACUGGUGAUGACAGUCCAUUCCAGUGUUGGUGACUGGAAGGGAGAGGGACUGCCACCCAAUGUUUUCACAGUGCCUAUUUCAGACAGCAUUUAAACCCACAAAGUGGGGUGGGAUGGGGAACAAGCAAGGGAAAAAAAAGAUUCCAUUUCCUUGAGGGGGUAAAAAUAAUUCAAAAGUAUCUGAGAAGGCUUAGGUAUGGUAAUUCCCUAUUCCAAACAUACAUAAGUCACAGGCAGCCUUAUUCUUUGGUUUCUAGGCACUUUUUUGAGUUUAGCACAAUAGGGAGAAGAAAACUGGAGGUUAGUGAAUCCAGUGGGGCAAGAGGUGAAGAGGACUAAAUUUCAGUCAAGACAACAAGGAAAGUACAAAGAAUGCAGUUUCUCUUUCAUGUGCUUUGAUCGUCUUUCCUGUUUUACCCUUAAUGAAUACUUUCUCAAAACUAAAAAUAAAACACCGCAUUCUAUUAAGUUCUGCUCUUCCUCCUAGGGAAUUCUGAAGGGGUAAGUGUCUGUUUCUCAUCUAUGAAUAUGACUCUCUACUUUCAUAUGUAUAGCUCAUGCACAUAUCUGCUUACGUGUGUUUUUCUUUUGCUGGGAAUCAGGCAGUGGACAAGAGAAAGAGGAAAAAGGAGUCCAUCCUAAAGACCCAAAACAAAUGUUAGUUUCUUCAAAUUGCUUUUACAAUUCUAGUGGUUGGCACUGACCAAACUCAGUUUGGCAUAUUGGAAGAUUUGCAGGUGCAGCAUAAAAUCACACACAUGCUGUGAGAAGCCGGGAAGAGUAGGGCAGGUAGAAGUUCGCCAUCAUCCACCUGACGCAGCAGCUCCUGGAAGGUAAUGGGCUGAGAAAGAAACUUCCGGAACAGGAGAGAUGCAUUUCUUGUCAACAAUUAAGGUGCACCGUGUGUGCAUACUCAGUGUGAAACUUGGUUUUUCAUUCCAGAUGACGUGCCCACAAGGUCUCAGAUUAUUCUAAUUGGAGAAUAAUGAAAUGAGAGAUGCCAUCCCAGAUGCCUUUGAUUUGAGUUUACUAGUUUACUUAUGCCUUACACAAAGGCCACACAUGUGUGCCCUCGGAGUGCAUGAGCACACAUUACUCAGAGCUGUAUUAUCAAUCCUCGAUGCCAGUCACAGCUUGCUUACUUGUGGAUGGGACCUUUGCCAUUGUAGAGAGAUGCUAAUAUAUACGUGGUCAGCAACUGCACUCAUUACAAAUAAGCUCUCUCCAACUAAAUGAUUUAAAUAAUCAUAUUAAUAAAUACAUGAUACCCGUACGUACAAGUCACAUUUUCUCCCCCACUGAUGGCUUUGAUUACUUUGACAGACUAAGAUACGCUAAUGAUACAAAUUACGAGCAAGAAGAAUUAAAAGGGUGUUUAACUCUGAUGCUAGGCUGUCAAUUUCCUAUAGUGCUACCAACUUACAGAUAGAUGAUUAAAAUUGUUUCAUUUAAGAAUUUUGAAUAUUUUAAAAAUUGAAUGGGUUUCUGGAGGAGGAAAAAAGAAAGAAAAAAAAAUCUAUGCUAAGCUAAUUAGACAUCCUAUUGAUUUAACAAUAGAACAGAAUUAUUCUUUGAGUGUUAAGCUCAUCCUGCAUUACUAUAAGAGCCUACAUUUUGCUAUUACAAAAUGCAUUUGCAAAUUUUGCUCGGUGUGUUUGGCUGAUUCUGUACAUUUGAUAUUAUUCAUAUAUUUAAUUGUGGGUUUAUAAAAAGAAGUGGUCAUUUACUUCUUAAUUUGUUUCUAAAGUAAUUAUUUCCAAAAUAUGAUGGUGGAUACUGUAAGUCCCAGAUAUAUGAAAUAAUGGUUCCUUUCUCUGAGGGGCUGAAAAUCUAGCAGAAAAAAAUAGCACAUACACACAGAUUACCAUAUAUCGUAGAAUCUUAUGAGUGACAUAUUAGUACACACAAAGUACUUUGACUGCAAGGAAGUAGUACGGAUUUUUCAGUCAGGCAGUGUAGUUUUAAGCUUUGAUUUCAUCAUCAGAUAAUUAUAACCACCUUGAGAAAUUUACUGUAUUUUUUUGGGUCUCUCUUGUAUUAUGUGUAUGAUGAAGUAAUAUAUCAUAUCUCUCUACCAUAUCUGUCUAUCUCUCAGACAUAUGUGAAUAUUACUUGAGCCAACACAUGUGAACUAUUCAGAACGGAUAUUGGUGCAUGGCAUACUUAUCCAAUUGAAAGAGAUUUAUUGAUGCUAUUAAGAACCAUCUUACAGUUGAAAACGGAUCAUGAAAAUGGCUUCCCUCUGGAUAUAUAUAAAUAAGUCACUUUGAGACUUGAUGAUGAUGGUGAUGAAGAUGAUGAUGAGGAGGAGGAUGAAAUUGAAGAAGAAAGUAAUAAUAGUAAAAAUAAUAUUUAAUAAUCAGUGAUUGCUCACUUUUCAGCAGAUAGUAUGAUGACUGUCUAAUAUAUGUAACCUUAUUUAAUCAUUUCAGUAACACAUAAAAAAUGUCAUAUAUGCUGUAAAUUACCAUAAUUCUUAAAUGAAGAAAGAGAGGCAAGGAAUUAUAUUUAAGUUAUAUAGCUAAUGAAAAUUGGUGCCAAAUAUCAAAUCCAAAAUUUUUUUCUCAAGGGUCAUAGCAGACAUUGUAGUUAUUUUACUUUGGUAUGGUAAAUUCUAUCCCUCUGGUCUUAUACAGCAAUAAACUUUAGGAUUUCCCAAAGUUUAAUCAUUAAGUGUCAUCUUUUUUCUAGCCAAAGGGAUACAAUCCUUUAUUCAAUAAUGUUUCAAUGUUAACUAAGCAAUACUGUAAUCCAGACUCUAUUUUAGGCACUGAGGAAGAUGGUAAUGAAUGAAGCAGAAAAAAUCCCUGCCCUUAGGAAGUUCACAAUAAUGAGAGAUUGACCUAUAAACCAAAAAAAUAUGAGUAUAACAAUAAUGCAGUGGUUAUGAUCAUGAACUUUGAAAUUAGAAGAUAAAAAUAGAAAUGCCAUAUGAUCCACUAAUUCCAAUAACUCCACCACUGUAUAUUUUAACCAAAAAAAUAUAAACACUAAUUCAUAAAGAUAUAGGGCACCCCUAUGUUUACUUCAGCAUUAUUUACCAUAGACAAGAUGUGGAACCAACCUAAGUGUCCAUGAUAGAUAAAAUGGAUGAGGAAGAUGUGGUGUGUGUGUGUGUGUGUGUGUGUGUGUGUGUGUAAUAUGUAUACACAUACAUGCGGGUAUGUGUGCACAAAUACACAAUGCAAUAUUACUCAGCCAUAAAAAAUGAUGAGAUCUUGCCAUUUGCAGCAACAUGGACAGACCAAAAGGGUAUUAUGCAAAGUAAAAUAAGUCAGACCGAGAAAGACAAGUGCCAUAUGAUUUCACUUAUAUGUAGAAUUUAAAGAACAAAACAAAUGAGUAACCAAACUAACAAAAAGCAGAAUCAGACCUAUAAAUUCAGAGAACAAACUGGCGGUUGCCAGAGGGAAGUGGGUGGAGGGAUGGGCAAGUGGGUAAAGGAAAGUGGGAGAUACAGGUCUCCAGUUUUGUGAUAAAAUUACAGGAAUAAAAGGCACACAUAAGGAAUAUGGGCCAAUGGUAUUGUAAUAGUGUUGCACAAUAACGGAUGGUAGCUGUGCUUGUGGUGAGCAUAGCAUAAUGUAUAGAGAUGUUGAAUCACUAUUUUAUUCACUUGAAACUAAUGUAACGUUAUGUGUCAACUAUACUCAAAAAACCCCACAAAAUUUAAGGAAGAUAUGAAUUCAAACUAUCCUCCAUCACUUUCUGUAAGUGAUCUUGGAAAAAUUACUUAAUUUCUCUGAAAUCCAAUCUCUUCACCUACAAAAUAAAGAUAAUAAUAUGUAAUUUUAAACAGGGUUAUUCUAAUGAUAUGAAUUAAUAUUUAUAAAGAACUCAGCAUAGCACUUACAAUAGUGCUUUAGGGAAGCUGUUUUUAAGUGCUUCCUUAUAUACAUGAUGCAUACAUCACGGAUGCAUGCAUACA
This is a long non-coding RNA of Acinonyx jubatus (cheetah), 6499 nucleotides long. RefSeq lists it as uncharacterized. The record is from RefSeq and is a predicted model, not a curated record. Lineage: Eukaryota; Metazoa; Chordata; Mammalia; Carnivora; Felidae. The transcript has 4 exons.